RNAcentral lists this ribosomal RNA (768 nucleotides) under Bagliettoa calciseda. RNAcentral describes it as "SSU rRNA". It matches the Rfam family "Bacterial small subunit ribosomal RNA", at positions 370 to 1210 of the family's 1533-position model. Lineage: Eukaryota; Fungi; Ascomycota; Eurotiomycetes; Verrucariales; Verrucariaceae. The record is from RNAcentral.
AAUAGCCUAACGGCUGAACCAGCAACUUGGAAGAAUGAAUAACGAAUAAGUCGUAUAAAAUUCUAGAUAGAAAACUGAUAAUGACUACUAUCUAUCUAUUAGUCUUGACCAAAUUACGUGCCAGCAGUCGCGGCAAUACGCAGAAGACAAGUGUUAUUCAUCUUUAAUCGGUAUAAAGGGUACCUAGACGGGAAAUCAAGCCAUAGUAGGUACUAAUUUUCUAGAGUUUUAUGGGAGAAAGUGGAAUAUCUGGAGUAGAGAUUAAAUAUUAUGAUACCAGAGAGACGGGUAACGGCGUAGGCAACUUUCUAUGUAAAAACUGACGUUGAGGGACGAAGCCCUGGGUAACGAGAAGGAUUAGAUACCCCAGUAGUCCAGGGAGACAAUGAUGAGUGCCAUAGGCUAGACAUAUUAGUCUAUAAAUGAAAGUGCAAGCAUUCCACCUUAAGACUAAAGCGGAAACGCCCAAAUUGAAAUCAUUAGACCGUUCCUGAAACCAGUAGUGAAGUAUGUUAUUUAAUUCGAUGAUCCGCGAAUAACCUUACCACGUUUUGAGUACUUUUAGGUAAAAGCAUUUACAUAGUGUUUUUACUAUCAAAAUUUUUACAAGCGCUGCACGGCUGUCUUUAGUUAAUGUCGUGAGACUUUGGUUAACUCCUUUAAUUAACGAAAACCCUUGUUUUAUUUGUAUAUAUAUAUAAAACAGUUCUCCGCUAUAUUGGAUAAGAUAACUGGGAUUAAGACAAGUCAUCAUGGCCUUAAUAACGU